AUUAAAGAGGUAUGCUAAGCAAACUGAAGCUUCUAACUUUAAGUUUAAGCGAUGCAAUUUCGUUUAUACUUCU
RNAcentral lists this transfer RNA (73 nucleotides) under Cryptocephalus flavolimbatus. RNAcentral describes it as "tRNA-Ser". The record is from RNAcentral. Lineage: Eukaryota; Metazoa; Arthropoda; Insecta; Coleoptera; Chrysomelidae.